GAAGAGAUCUUUUAUGGACCAAGCUCAUCAAGUAUUUUGAGGAAAAGGUUUGGAUGUUCAUGACAACAAAAACAGUGAUAACAACUCCUAUGAUGCCAUGUUUAUCUGCAGCCAUCCACCAGUCAAUAGAGAAAGUCAUGUGCAUGAUCGACUUUUUACAGGAUUUUUCUAUAAGUGCUUCUAGCUGCACUCAAAAAUGGGACAGAGUUAAUGGGACAGCUUAUUUGGCAUGCUGAGUUAAUUAUGACCUGGAUGCAUUUCUGGACAUAUUUUCAGGGAAAAAGGGGCCUUAUUGAAAGAUUGCACUGAUUCUAAAACUUUCCCAUUGGCUUUCUUCCCCCAGUCCAUUUUGAUGAGAGAGAGAGAGAGAGGUUUCAUUUAUGUAUAGGGAAUCCAUGCAUAGGUGACAAGGUGGCAUUCCAAAUGACCUGUUGAUCAUGCUAAAUCUCAAUGGUCAUUAUGUCCUUGCUCAUGACACACUGGAAACAUUCAUUCUCCUGGAGAUUCAUUUUGGCUGCUAGAGGAGGUUGCUGCCCUCUAUCACAUUAUCCUUGAGCAGCAAUCACAGCAACAUUUCGACCAUGAUGAGUUUUGUAGGACGAUGGAAUGGAUCAUUCUCACCAUGGCCUGUGGCCUCAUCUUUUCCCCAUCUAUAUCUGAAUUUUUUUAAGUAGAAACUAAACCCUUUCUUAAGUAUGGAUUGUAUAUAAUUCAUUUAUUCAUCUCUCUUUUUUCUAAGAGGUUGGAAUAUAGGAAACUUAAAAUGUCGGGUCCUGUAGAGGCUCCCAUGAUGAGGCUUAGGAAAAAGGACAAUAGUGCAAUACGCUAUGCCUCAAGUAUCUUGUCCAAACAUGAAGGAAAUGGAAAUUUUUUUUCCAAGGGAUGGGAUGUAAAUAUUUUUAAACAAUACAAGAAAAAGAUUGGAAUAUUGCUUGUAGAAUUCUUUUGUGUGUAGAACAUUUUUUUUCCUUUCAAUUAGUUGGGAAAAUCUUGAGAGAAGUGGUCUGAGAGAAGGAAGGAAAGUUUUGGUCAUGGAAGGGGGAAGAAGGGAAACAGGGUAGAGGCAGGUGAGAGAAGUAAGAAAGCUCUGAUCAUGGAAGGCAGAAGAAGGGAAAGGAGGCAGGGGUAGGCCAUUGCUGAAAAUAAAGUUUUGCAUCCACUGAGAAUUGAAAUUCAAUCAUGCCCUUCAGCUUGCAUCACCACACAAGUUGUGCCAUCAUUUCAUCUGAUAAAUAGGUAACUGGCAUUUUCCUUUUUCUAUCAGAGCUAACCCUUACAUUUGGACUGAAUCUAAAACAUGUGUGUUGGUUCACUAAUAACAGUCUGGAGGAGAGGAGGA
Molecule: long non-coding RNA, 1339 nt
Filed under: Elaeis guineensis (African oil palm)
Lineage: Eukaryota; Viridiplantae; Streptophyta; Magnoliopsida; Arecales; Arecaceae
Description: long non-coding RNA (EGUI_LNC058139)
Source: RNAcentral